Molecule: ribosomal RNA, 460 nt
Filed under: uncultured bacterium
Lineage: Bacteria
Description: partial 16S ribosomal RNA
Rfam family: Bacterial small subunit ribosomal RNA
Source: RNAcentral
CCUACGGGAGGCAGCAGUGAGGAAUAUUGGUCAAUGGGCGGAAGCCUGAACCAGCCAAGUAGCGUGCAGGAUGACGGCCCUACGGGUUGUAAACUGCUUUUGUACGAGGGUAAACGCAGAUACGUGUAUCUUUCUGAAAUUAUCCUACGAAUAAGGAUCGGCUAACUCCGUGCCAGCAGCCUCGGUAAUACGGAGGAUUCAAGCGUUAUCCGGAUUUAUUGGGUUUAAAGGGUGCGUAGGCGGUCGGAUAAGUUAGAGGUGAAAUCCCGGGGCUCAACUCCCGAAUUGCCUCUGAUACUGUUCGGGUAGAGAGUAGUUGCGGUAGGCGGAAUGUAUGGUGUAGCGGUGAAAUGCUUAGAGAUCAUACAGAACACCGAUUGCGAAGGCAGCUUACCAAGCUACUUCUGACGUUGAGGCACGAAAGCGUGGGGAGCAAACAGGAUUAGAUACCCGUGUAGUC